GUGCAGCAGGCGAGAAACUUCGGCAAUGGGCGCAAGCCUGACCGAGCGGCGCCGCGUGGAGGAUGAAGGCCUUCGGGUUGUAAACUCCUGUCGAGGGGGAAGAAGGGGCCUCAAAACCUUGACUGAUCCCUGGAGGAAGCACGGGCUAAGUUCGUGCCAGCAGCCGCGGUAAGACGAACCGUGCGAACGUUAUUCGGAAUCACUGGGCUUAAAGCGCGUGUAGGCGGGGCGGCACGUCGGUCGCUGAAAUCCCCCGGCUUAACCGGGGAACGGGCGCCGAUACGACCGUCCUGGAGGAACGUAGGGGGAGCUGGAACUUCCGGUGGAGCGGUGAAAUGCGUUGAGAUCGGAAGGAACGCCCGUGGCGAAAGCGAGCUCCUGGACGUUUUCUGACGCUGAGACGCGAAAGCCAGGGGAGCGAACGGGAUUAGAUACCGGUGUAGU
RNAcentral lists this ribosomal RNA (444 nucleotides) under uncultured organism. RNAcentral describes it as "bacterial SSU rRNA". It matches the Rfam family "Bacterial small subunit ribosomal RNA", at positions 346 to 794 of the family's 1533-position model. The record is from RNAcentral.